GCACCCGUAGCUCAACUGGAUAGAGUGUCGGCCUCCGAAGCCGAAGGUUGCGCGUUCGACCCGCGCCGGGUGCA
RNAcentral lists this transfer RNA (74 nucleotides) under bacterium. RNAcentral's name for it is "tRNA-Arg". It matches the Rfam family "tRNA". From Rfam's summary of the family: Transfer RNA (tRNA) molecules are approximately 80 nucleotides in length. Their secondary structure includes four short double-helical elements and three loops (D, anti-codon, and T loops). The record is from RNAcentral. RNAcentral also lists the same sequence under 3 other names.